UGGCGGCAGCCUAACCAUGCAAGUCGAACGGACCCUUCGGGGUUAGUGGCGGACGGGUGAGUAACACGUGGGAACGUGCCUUUAGGUUCGGAAUAGCUCCUGGAAACGGGUGGUAAUGCCGAAUGUGCCCUUCGGGGGAAAGAUUUAUCGCCUUUAGAGCGGCCCGCGUCUGAUUAGCUAGUUGGUGGGGUAAUGGCCCACCAAGGCUACGAUCAGUAGCUGGUCUGAGAGGAUGACCAGCCACAUUGGGACUGAGACACGGCCCAAACUCCUACGGGAGGCAGCAGUGGGGAAUCUUGCGCAAUGGGCGAAAGCCUGACGCAGCCAUGCCGCGUGUAUGAUGAAGGUCUUAGGAUUGUAAAAUACUUUCACCGGUGAAGAUAAUGACUGUAGCCGGAGAAGAAGCCCCGGCUAACUUCGUGCCAGCAGCCGCGGUAAUACGAAGGGGGCUAGCGUUGCUCGGAAUUACUGGGCGUAAAGGGAGCGUAGGCGGACAUUUAAGUCAGAGGUGAAAUCCCGGAGCUUAACUUCGGAACUGCCUUUGAUACUGGGUGUCUUGAGUGUGAGAGAGGUAUGUGGAACUCCGAGUGUAGAGGUGAAAUUCGUAG
Molecule: ribosomal RNA, 608 nt
Filed under: alpha proteobacterium TH-S59
Lineage: Bacteria; Pseudomonadati; Pseudomonadota; Alphaproteobacteria
Description: bacterial SSU rRNA
Rfam family: Bacterial small subunit ribosomal RNA
Source: RNAcentral